Molecule: long non-coding RNA, 2277 nt
Organism: Juglans microcarpa x Juglans regia
Lineage: Eukaryota; Viridiplantae; Streptophyta; Magnoliopsida; Fagales; Juglandaceae
Exons: 4
Source: RefSeq, a predicted model, not a curated record
UUUAUUGGCAUUGCCACAUACAAUUGGGAUUGGAGGAUGUAUUCUGAGAAUUGAUGCAACAAAAUCUGGAAAGGGUAAAAGUGGAUUCGGCUGAGGAACCUCUCAAAAUGCCCUGUUGAUAAGGUGAUUGAUGGGGCCCAGUUGGUUGGUUUUUAACAUACAUGAGCAAUGUUUGUACAUGGGUGUGCAGUCGCGUACGUGCAAAUUCAUAUUAUAUUUUAUAUGAGAAGAUAAAGGAAGAUGCUCAUGACUGUGCCUCGCAAAAUGUAUAUUGUGCAACAGGUAAAAGACAUGGGAUGAGCAAGUAUGUAGUAUGUACCACUCGCUGUAUUCAGUCCUCAGGAAGGUCAGACUGUUUGGUCGGCUACAUUUGAGCUGCUCACCAUCCACCGGAUCACAACAUACUUAUCACUUUGUACAUAAGCCCAUCACUAACUUUUUUUCCCGUUCCAAGUCACGGCAGUGCUGUUCAUUUUACUGCUACCUCUGACAUUAUGCAUGUCUAUUCAUUUUUAUUUUCGAUAUUUAACUAACAUUUUUUAUAUAAGUAAUCAAGAAGUUUUAUUCAUAAAAGUAGGCAAAGCCCAAGUACAUUCGAUAUUUAACUAACAUUGGGAUGGACUUGUGUUUUUGUUUCUGGAAUUGCAUUUCAACAAGCGUUUUCCAAGAUGUAAGAUGUUUUCAUAUAAUGGUCGUUUUAUGGUGUGUUCAAUUUAAUUGUCUGAAACCUGUUUGUCGGGGCCACUGAAUUGAGUGAAAAUGUGGACCUUAACAAGUGAAGAAGGCUGGCUACUGCCGAGAGAUAGAAUUGUGGAAGUGUUCCCAGACAUUGGAGUUGAAGAGUACAGCUGACCCCGUGUUGAGGAGGCAAUCUUCAAUCAAUUGCAGCAUUAUUCACUUAGACUAUGUUCCUAAUUCAGCAGCAACCCACGCGGAUUUUAUACCGUUUAUUGUGCCUAGAAAAGCCAGAUUCAAAUGUUUUGUGAUGCAACUGGUUCUGAAGGAUUUGCUGCUUUAGACCCAUCUUGAAAUAAGCUUACUGAGAAAGCCCCCUUAGCUGGUUCUGCACCCAUACAAAACAUACAAGUAGCUCUGAGUGUGCAACUGCAGUGAGAUAUCCUGUAAGCUCUUGUUUUUCUGAGGCAGCCACUUCAAAAGAAAUUAAUAGUUUUAGUACGAUAUCUAAGACUGUUGCGCUAACUACAGUAUUUAGUGAUGGCGAUGAUGUUUUUAUCACAUCCCUGCAUAUUCCUUGGGAGUCCAACAAGUAACUUCGAGACCAAGCAGUUAAUGAUUAUUCAGUUCACAGGCAAGUGGGCAACAUUUGUGCAAACAUAUCUGAUGUUCUUUCAUUGGAUGAUGAUCAAAGGAACCAUAAGGCGAAAGUCACAUUAAAUGCAAAAGAUUAUUUAUCUACUAUGUUUAAUAUUCAUAUCAUGUUCAUACAGCCAACUCAUAUUGUCAUUCCCUCCAAGUUAGAAUGCAAUCCAUCAUCUGGAACAACCACCAUCCUUGAAAUCAAGAAUGAGGGAAUGAGGGAGAGGCAAGUUUCCCGGAUGAGGGUGUCAACAGUGAUGUGGGUCGUGCUGAGGUGGAGGCAGAAGUAGUUGAUGAAAAUGAUCCACACAAAAUGAUGAAUUUAGCCCUUUGGUAGGGAACAGAGAAAAGUUCUUUUGCUCACAGACUUCUGAUCUUGAUAUCGAGAUACCCAAGAAUGCUGUGCUAUAUCAGCAGAAACCUAUGUUGUGGAGGAAGUUCAGCAAAUUUAUGGUGUUGGUGUAACGAAGCCACUGGCCAAGCUCCUAAUGCUAAAAGGGAAGAGUUGAUGAUUCCUCAAAGCAUGUGGCUGGGAAGGUUUAUGAGUCAUCUAGGUCUGUACAAAUUCUGCUUUUGUCCGCACCAAAUACCCAAGGGAAAAGACAGAUGGGGUAUAGUUUCAAGCUUCGGGUCCAUCUUGCCCACCUUCCAAGUGUUUUUAAUUUCACAAAUUCUUUGAACGGAGUGGGACUACGAGUCCCCUCUGCAGAUGCUGCAUUUUCGCAAAAUUUAGUCAUGCAGGAGAUGCUUAAUCAAUUAAUUCCUCAAGAGAAUGGACAUUUAUUUAUAUACGCAAUGGUACAUGCUUAAUCAGGUAAUUGCUCAAGAGUAUGGACGUUUAUAUAUCCCACUACAUAUGUAUCAUGUCUCGCUGUUUUCAGCAUAUUAUUAUUUUUGCACGCUUGAGAUAUAGUGGUUGUAUAUGGUAAUUGAAACCACUGGGAGGUAAACUUUUAAUCA